UAAAAAAAAAGAAAAUAUGAUAAUAUUAGUAGAUAAUUUUCUUAUGGAAAAUAUUUAAGUUUUCCUAUAUUUUACUUAGAAAUGUAUAUAAUAAAAGAACUCGGCAAAAACGAUUUCCGAAUGUUUAACAAAAACAUUUCCUCUUAGAAUAGGAGGUAAAGCCUGCUCACUGAAAAUUAAAGAGCCGCAGUAUUUUGACUGUGCUAAGGUAGCAUAAUCAUUAGUCUUUUAAUUGGAGACUGGUAUGAAUGGCUAAACGAGAAAUCUUCUUUUUUUUAUUAUAAAUAUCGAAUUUAUUUUUUUAGUGAAAAAACUAAAAUAUUCCUGAAAGACGAGAAGACCCUAUAGAGUUUUAUAUAGUAAACUAUCAUAUUGUAUUAGAUCUGAUUCGAUUUGAUUUUAUUCUGUAAUUUGUUGGGGCGACAUUAAGAUAAAAAAAACUCUUUUUUAUAAAAACUUUGAUAAAUGAAUAACUUGAUCCUUUAAAAAAGAUAAUAAGAUAAAAUUACCUUAGGGAUAACAGCGU
Molecule: ribosomal RNA, 526 nt
Filed under: Chthamalus challengeri
Lineage: Eukaryota; Metazoa; Arthropoda; Thecostraca; Balanomorpha; Chthamalidae
Description: partial 16S ribosomal RNA
Rfam family: Archaeal large subunit ribosomal RNA (bases 112-266)
Source: RNAcentral